RNAcentral lists this ribosomal RNA (253 nucleotides) under uncultured bacterium. RNAcentral describes it as "partial 16S ribosomal RNA". It matches the Rfam family "Bacterial small subunit ribosomal RNA", at positions 524 to 776 of the family's 1533-position model. The record is from RNAcentral.
UACAGAGGGUGCAAGCGUUGUUCGGAAUUAUUGGGCGUAAAGGGUGCGUAGGCGGUCGGGUAAGUCUGAUGUGAAAUCUCACAGCUUAACUGUGAAACUGCAUUGGAUACUAUCCGGCUAGAGGAAUGGAGGGGAGACUGGAAUACUUGGUGUAGCAGUGAAAUGCGUAGAUAUCAAGUGGAACACCAGUGGCGAAGGCGACACGCUGGGCCGUACCUGACACUGAUGCGCGACAGCAUGGGGAGCAAACAGG